AGCAUGUUAGCUCAGGGGAAGAGCGCCGGGCUCAUAACCCGGAGGUACGUCAAAUCCAUUAAUUCAAAUUCAAAUCAGCAAAAUUCUAACAUCACCCAGGUCCCUGGAUCGAAACCAGGACAUGCUA
Molecule: non-coding RNA, 127 nt
Organism: Aspergillus carlsbadensis
Lineage: Eukaryota; Fungi; Ascomycota; Eurotiomycetes; Eurotiales; Aspergillaceae
Source: the annotation of a GenBank genome assembly